UGAGGAAUAUUGGUCAAUGGGCGAGAGCCUGAACCAGCCAAGUAGCGUGCAGGAUGACGGCCCUAUGGGUUGUAAACUGCUUUUAUAUGGGAAUAAAGCGAGGGACGUGUCCCUGAUUGCAUGUACCAUACGAAUAAGGACCGGCUAAUUCCGUGCCAGCAGCCGCGGUAAUACGGAAGGUCCAGGCGUUAUCCGGAUUUAUUGGGUUUAAAGGGAGCGUAGGCUGUUUGUUAAGCGUGUUGUGAAAUGUAAGAGCUCAACUUUUAGAUUGCCGCGCGAACUGGCAGACUUGAGUGCGCACAACGUAGGCGGAAUUCAUGGUGUAGCGGUGAAAUGCUUAGAUGUCCUGAAGAACUCCGAUUGCGAAGGCAGCUUACGGGAGUGUUACUGACGCUUAAGCUCGAAGGUGCGGGUAUCGAACAGG
RNAcentral lists this ribosomal RNA (424 nucleotides) under Verrucomicrobiota bacterium. RNAcentral describes it as "Verrucomicrobia bacterium partial 16S ribosomal RNA". It matches the Rfam family "Bacterial small subunit ribosomal RNA", at positions 355 to 776 of the family's 1533-position model. The record is from RNAcentral. Lineage: Bacteria; Pseudomonadati; Verrucomicrobiota.